RNA transcript from Pristis pectinata (smalltooth sawfish), 3621 nucleotides. It is a transcript of the gene named ninjurin-2-like, with no coding region annotated. The record is from RefSeq and is a predicted model, not a curated record. NCBI's taxonomy places the organism in Eukaryota, Metazoa, Chordata, Chondrichthyes, Rhinopristiformes, Pristidae. The transcript has 3 exons.
CUACAGUUGACAGGUUAAUGGGAGAGAACAGAAUACAAGUUUUUUUCUACUUAACAGAUGGCAGAGUUUAAAAAAUUCAACUUAAACAAAAACACUCGGAUAAAGUCUACAGUAACACCAUUUAAAGAUUACUUCUGCUGUGGAUUCAGGGAACGAUGGAAUUAAUAAGAGAAAAUGAGCUCAAGUAAUCAACAAAAAUAAAAUGAGUGUAACCCCUUCCUCUUCCCUCCCGAGAAUCGCCCCCUGUUGACCAUGACAUCAAUCACAAAGACACUUGUUCAGCGGCCGGCUCUCCACCCAUCGCCUCGAAGGUCAGAGGGAUUUAACCGAAUUCACUCUCGGACUUGUCAGCCGAUCACAGGGGGGAAAUAAGCGAAAAUCAAGAAAUGAUGAGCACUUCGACAGCUGGGUUCCGUGAGCGCACAGAUUUUAAAGGAACAUACAGACUUUACUGGAGCAAAAAGGAAAGAACCCAAGUCUUGAAUGCCUGAUGUUCAUCUCCAGGUUCUUUCACUGAACUAUCUAAGCAACGGCAAUGCUUUGGAUUACUGUGGACUACCCAACUAGGGUAUCAGAUCAAUCAGUGGCCUCCAGCUCUCCUUGUCCUCUUAGAGCCACCUUAACUCUGAGAUUCCACUUAAUACCCUUUUCUUUUCCCUCAAACACUAUUAUGCUUUCCUCCAGGCAAUAUUCAUGCAUUAAACAACUGACCAGUGUGGGUUUGAAUCCUUAAAACAGACAGGAAAGAAGAAUGCAGCAUGUUGGGCACUUCAGUUCUCUAAAAAAAUGCACUAGUACAUGUGCACAGUCCUCUCAAUCAUAUCACAGAAUAUGGCUCAUGUGGUUAAGGAUGUGUGGCAAUUGUUUGCUUUUCUAAAAUACAAUCAUGGUUGUGAAAAUAGCUGUUGCUCAAUUGCCUGAGGAUGUAGAGUACACCACUGACAAAUUAAGAUCCAUAGUUACCAGAGUGACCAUUGUCUUUUCUUGUAUGAUGUACCUUGAUUUCCAUUAUGGUCAGAUUCUGUUUAUUUGGAUUAGCAUAUUUGGUGUAAGGACCAAGUGAGGAUACAUUCUAUAGGCAAUAUCCUUGAAUAGUUGCUUACCUUAAUCUUUAAAUCUAUAACUUCCCUCUUUAAUGCAAUAGAAGGACUUAUACAACACAACUAGAAUCUCCCAACCAUUUUAAAGUUAAUAACCACAAGUCUGGUUUCUUGAAAACAACAUAAACCAAGUCAUAAUGUGAAUUAUUUUGUAAUGGAAUGUGGUUGCUUUGAAUAGUUCUCCAUCACACUCAUUGAUAGGGUAGAACCUUUCCUCAUUGCAACCAUUUUCCAUUUUUACCAUACCUCAUUGGAUCUUCCAUAUUUGUCAAAGGAAGUCCUUCUGUUCCAUGCUUGGAAUUUCUAAACCAUGAAGGAGGAUUGUUUGGUAAAUAUUCUAUGUACCACAGGAUAAACCUAUAUUGAUCUUUUCCAGUCAGUGUAGAAAGUUCAAGUGCCCCUUGUUCAGCGUCAGUAUGACCCUGAAGAUUUUGACCUGGGUGAACUCAACAUCUGCCAUAGACUAAUGAAGUCAAUAAUUGUUACUGCGAUCAAUUCUUUAGAGAUAUUUUCUUGUAAGAUAAGAAGAUAAGAUAUCUUUAUUAGUCACAUGUACAUUGAAACACACAGUGAAAUACAUCAUUUGCGUAGAGUGUCUGGGGGCAGCCUGCAAGUGUCGCCACGCUUCCGGCGCCAACAUAGCAUGCCCACAACUUCCUAACCUGUAGGUCUUUGGAAUGUGCGAGGAAACCGGAGCACCUGGAGGAAACCCACGCAGACAUGGGGAGAACGUACAAACUCCUUACAGACAGUGGCGGGAAUUGAACUCGGGUUGCUGGUGCUGUAAUAGCAUUACGCUAACCGCUACACUACCGUGCCCCAUUUUGAUGCAAUACACCACACAAUUCUUUGUUCAAUAUGUUGACAGGAUAAUGUGAUAUAUCCCAAGCAACAUACAGAAAGAAAAGCAAAAGAAAACAUGUAAAUUGAAACAGAAAGUGCUGGAAAUACUGCAGGUCAGGCAGUAUCUGUGCAGAGAGAAACAGAAUUAAUGUUCCUGGCUGAUGACUGUUCAACAAAAUUAGGAAAAUAUGGAAACCAGACAUGUUUUGAGCUGCAGAAAGGGGGGUGGUAGGGAAAACAAAGGAAAUGUAUGUGAAAUGUGGAGGCCAAGAGAAAAUAGAUGACCCAAGUUGAUGUCUUGGUGGUGAUUGCUUGUUAAUGGCAGCUAACCUGUCUGGAGGAUGUAUAAAUUGAAGGAGAAUGAAUGAACAAACAAACAAACAAUGGUUACAAAAGGUCUUCAACCUGUAAUGUUGACUCUUUUUCUCUUUCCACAGACACUGCCAGACAUUUCAGCAUUUUCUAUUUUUAAUGUCUGCAGAAAGAGACCAUGUAAUUUUUAAAAACUAAUUGAUUAUGAGAAUUUACAUUAAGAUAAUGAAAACAUCUAAUUCGUUACAAGAAGUGACAGGAAAAGCUGAAUCAGGUCUGUCACAAAAGAUACAAAUCUGGUGACUGAAGAACUAGGUGUGGAUUAAAUUAAGGAAUGUGAGGGAUGAUUCCAAUUCAAUUAUCGUUGAACAGUUUGUUUCUGAUAGCACUUCAAAGGCAGGACCAUACUGAAUGUAAAUCAAAAACUGCAGAUGCUGCAAGUCUGAAACAAAAACAGAAAAUGCUAGAAAAGCUCAGCAAGUCAGGCAGCAUCUGUAGAAAGAGAAACAGUUAGAAGUAACGAAGAACAGUUCUGAUGAAGGGUCACAGACCUGAAACGUUGACUGUAUUUCUUUAUCCACAGAUGCUGCCUGACUUGUUGAGUCUUUAUGGCAUUUUCUGUUUUUGCUUCAUAUUGAAUCUAAGCAAGGGGCUGCUUGCAUUGCUGUGAAUCAUGCUUCACCAAAAAGAUGAAUUCAUUUCACGGUUAUGAUGUCCUCAAGAAAACCUUUUUGCAAAGUGUCUUGAAAUGGACUUGAGACAGAGAUUCCCUGUGUGAGUUGGUUGUGAAUGGAUUGAACAGUUGAAAUGCACCUACUCACCUUUGUAUAAAUCAAUGAAGUUACUUUGUGAAUGCUGACAGGUGCAUAAUAACCCAAUCAUUAGGCAAGGUCUGUGAGUUUGAAACAACAUUAUCUAUCUGGUUGCUGUAGAAACUGCCAGAUUGCACAAAUGUGUUGCUUUUUAUACUGGCAAGAAUGUUAUCUGGUAUUAAAAUGAACAGCUUCAGCAGGCAUGAUUCUAAUAUACAUCAAUUUCAAUAAUGAUUCAUUAUUUAGUGUGCAGUCUUUGCUCAAAGUGUUAAAACUUCCUGAUAUAUCUUUGACCUAUUGUAAUAUUUAGAAUUGUAUUUGUCUUUCACAUUGAAUAUUUCUGAUGAAAUAAUUGUAAUAUUUUGACCUCUGGAAUGCUAGAGGAUGUUUAAUAUUAAUUCCAGAGUUAAACAUGGAGUAAGUAUGUGACUGCCAAGUAGACUGGUGUAUCUAAAUAAACCGCACCUGUAUCGUAACCAGAUGACUUUGCUCCUUAGUACAUACCGAUGAUGUAAUGAAAUUGCUACUAUCACAAUGUAGUUAAAACAAAAUAA